This is a long non-coding RNA of Callithrix jacchus (white-tufted-ear marmoset), 3654 nucleotides long. RefSeq lists it as uncharacterized. The record is from RefSeq and is a predicted model, not a curated record. NCBI's taxonomy places the organism in Eukaryota, Metazoa, Chordata, Mammalia, Primates, Cebidae.
AGCUGUAAGUUAGGGUCUUUCCCUUUGCAGGGCGGGUUGUUUAACAUAUGCCAGUGUGACACUGAGGACUCCCCUUUUCUGUUACCUCCACUGCUACCUGUAAUAUCAACAAAGUGGGAACAUAAAUAAAAACUUGGCAAAUCCAGGAUUUUGGAAAUUAGCAGGCCUUUGGUAACUUGGAGAAGGCAGUUUAAAGAGAAUAGUAGGGGGCAUACAACAGGUAUGAGCAGGUAUAAAAGAAAUGGAAGACACAGAACAAAUGGGUGACAUCUGAAAUUUAAGUGUCGAAGAGAGAGAGAAACAGAACAAGCAGCAGUAGAAAAUAGAGGUUAUGGAGCCUCUCUGGUAUCUUAAGAGCUGUCUAAAUAUUUGAGAAGUCAUAUCUGAACUGUUAAGCCCAGUACAAACAGGCACUAAUCCUAUUCAUGAGGGCUCCACCUUCAUGACCUCAUCACUUCUCAAAGGCUUCACCUUCUAAUUCAGUCACAAUGGAAUUAAGGAGUCAACGUUUUGGAGAGACGUAAGCCAUUCGGUCCACAAUGGAAAGCUAUCCGCCUGCCUGUGAACUGUUAAUGACAGAAUAAUCCGUGGACAUACUCCUGUGACUUCAGCUGUUAUAAAAUGCAAUUUGACACUGAAAAGAAACAUGCCGGUAUAGCCAAAGGGAGUGCCACAGGGCAGGGGCUGGAACCAGGGAAGAGUUGCACUAUGGACACUGAAAAUGCCGGAGGAUGCAGGCAUCCAUAGCUGCAUGUUGUGGAAGAAGGCCCAGAAGCUGGAAAAGAGAAGUGACUACAGAAAAAUAGGUUGAAUUACUGGCAUAACAUAGGAAUUGGAUUCACACUGUAAGUUUGUAAGCAACAUGAAAAUAAGGAGGAAUUAACCAUCACAUCUUAAAGGUGAUACUUUAUACUUGAUAUUCUGAAACAAGUAAUAUUUUUAGUGGUUUUUCAGUUUAUUAAAAUUAUCCAAAAUGAAGAUGAUCCAGUGAGCAGAGAUUGUACAUUUUUCAAUUAGCAAAAGGUAAAGUAGCCACUCUAGCACCCUAGUUUAAGGAUCUAGAAUUAAAUUUACACCAUGGUUAUUCAUGAGCAAGUUUCAGUAAGUUUUAAAAAGUUUGACAUAUAUGGGCCUGGCUCAGUGGCUCACGCCUAUAAUCCCAGCACUUUGGAAGGCCAAGGCCAGUGGAUCACCUGAGGUUGGGAGUUCAAGACCAGCCUGACCAACAUGGAGAAACCCCAUCUCUACUAAAAAAACAAAAUUAGUUGGGUGUGGUGAUACAUGCCUGUAAUCCCAGCUACUUGGGAGGCUGAAGAAGGAGAAUCACUUGAACCUAGGAGGUGGAGGUUGUGGUGAGCCAAGAUCAUGCCAUUGCACUGUAGCCUGGGCAACAAGAGUGAAACUCUAUCUCAAAAAAGAAAAACCUUGAUAUAUGAAUUCAUGCUUUAUUGGCUAUUAAUACAAUUUAUUUUUUUUUUAGAAUGGUAAAAAAAGGUGAGGAGAAAGUCUCAUAAAGUUUUACCUCUGAUGGAUUUUCAUGAUGUCAAGUAGAUUAGUUUUUAGCAAUGUGCCUUGAUCAUAAACUUUUUGCUGUAACUUCGGUCUGGAGGAAAAUAAGUCAAACCUGUUGUAUAGAAUUAAAAGUUCAGUGUUUAAUUUCAUACCAAAAGAACAUAGACGUUGGAAAAAAAUAACUCAAAUAUAACAUAUUAGUAAAUCACAGUAUUACAGUAGAUAUUCUUAAAAUAUAUUUUCCAGGACAAAGCAAGAGUUGGAAAAAGCCCAGAUCCUAAGGGGUUUCCUUGGUCCUCUUCCUGCUUGACCUGUAGUGUGGUCUGAUAAGGUCAUAAUCUUGAUUUCCUAAAACCACCUCAACACCUAUCUAUAAUUCAACCUAUUUUUCUGUAGCUGCCUGUGAAAAUAAAUUCUGUUUCUUAUAGCUCCCAUAGUUACCAAAAAAAAAAAAAUAGGAACGUCAUUUGAAAUAAUAUUCUAUUAUUUUCCUGCUAUUGCUUUGACCUCAUUUCUUCCCUGUUUUCUUUGGUGGCUCCUCCUGUGAUACUUGUUUAUUUAAACAGUUCUCAAGGGUUUUUUGUUUGUUUGCUUCUCACUUUCAGUCAUCUCCUCGAGUCAUUCUUUUUCCAUGAUUUAAAAUUCCAAUUUGUAUGGGAAAGCUCAAUGAUCUUUGUCCCCAAAGACCCCUCCCCAGAGCUGCAGAACUGUAGCAUUCACCUUCACGAUGGAAACAUGUGGACACUGUGUCCACGUGAACACUGCCCCUACCCUCAGGCACCUCCAUAUAUACCUCACAGCAAUAUAUCGCUUCCUCGUUAUCUCAUCAACAAAAAUGUCUGUUUUUAUUCAUGAGUUCUGCCUUUUGGGAUAGAUUCACAAUCUUCUCAGUCAUUUUAGAUGAAAAUCUCAGAGCCCUCUCGAACUCCAUCAUCUUUCUCACACAUUAUUGUCAUCUACUUGAUAAAUCAACUACUGCAGUCCCUUUCUUUCUGAUGCCACAGUCCUACCUUGGGUUGGCCUUUAUUAUCUCCUUCCCAGGGUCCGGAUCCCAUCUUCCCACACUUGCCUCCCACAUGAUGAUUUCUUCCUUUCCUAAGUCAUUCUGCCCAUGGCGAGGAUAGUCAUCUUCCUGAAUCACAGGUACAAUCAUGACAUGCUAGUGCCCAUCCCUGCCACUCUACAGAAAUUGCUCUAGACAAGACUUCCAAUGACAUUCAAAGCACAUCUUUCUCUUUUAUUUGGCAUUGCUGUGACAUGUGACACUGUUAGCAUCUCCCUUCUUUAGAAGUUCUCCUUUUAAGUCCUCAUUCACUCUACCCUCCAUUGCGAUUUUCUCCUAUUUCUCUGCUCUCCUUUUCAGUCUCCUCUAUGGCUAUUUCUUUCUCUGAUUAAACUUUAAUGUUAUUACAUCAGAGGGGCACCACCCUUAGCAUCCUGAUCUUCUCCUGCUGCAGUUCUUAAUACCCCUGGGAGAGCCACCCACACCCAUGAUUAUAGCUACACUGAAAGAUUGCUGACUCCCACAUCUCUACCCAUUUGCCCUCCUGACUCCAAGACCUGUUCAAUUGCUUAAGGAAUUUCUCCACAUGGAUGGUCACAGGCAUGUCAAAGUCGGCCAACCUCAGCUCAUCCGUUCUUCCUUCCAAACCUGUUUUUCUUGUCUUUCCUGUCAAAUGGAAUGAGGAUAUCACCAUCCACCCAGUUAGAUUCCUAUGUCAGAAACUGCGAGGUAAUCCACAAUCACUUUUACCCCCUCUUGCCCCCAAGUCACUGUUGCCAGUCCAUGAACUUCUACAAAAUUAGUAUCUUUAAAAUCUUCUCCCAUGUUCCAUUUGUAAUUUUACUUCUUUUGUGCAGGCUUUAUUUUUUUCUCACCUAGAUUUUAUAAUAAAUCUGACCUGGUAAACUGUCUGUAAUCUUUUCUGUUUGUCCUUCAAAUUAUGUUCAGGAUAAUUUUUCUAAAAUGCAAGUUUCAUCAAUUCAAUCCAUUGUUCAUUUUAUUUUACUUUUUUUUGAGAUGGAAUCUUGCUCUGUCACCCAGGUUGGAGUGCAGUGGUGCAAUCUUGGCUCACUGCAACCUCUGCCUCCUGGAUUUAAGCGAUUCUGCCUCAGCCUUCGAUAUAUAUAUAUAUAUAUAUA